Molecule: non-coding RNA, 217 nt
Organism: Pelobates cultripes (western spadefoot toad)
Lineage: Eukaryota; Metazoa; Chordata; Amphibia; Anura; Pelobatidae
Source: the annotation of a GenBank genome assembly
CUCAAAAAGAAGACAAUUAAAUAAAUAAGCCAUAUGCUUAUUUAACAAGGAGGUGAUGUGUUAUUUAGGUAAUAUUGCCCUAGCAAUGUUCAUUUAUGAACAAAUGGCAGAGAGUUGGCUAUUGUAGUGAGAGAUUGUUGAGAAUAGUUGAAGAAUCCAGUACUGAUGCUUCUCAGAAUUAAGGACUAAAUUUGGUAUUUUUAGAUGAACUCUUAAG